RNAcentral lists this non-coding RNA (96 nucleotides) under Streptococcus sp. RNAcentral describes it as "Guanine sequence". It matches the Rfam family "Purine riboswitch aptamer". From Rfam's summary of the family: Riboswitches are metabolite binding domains within certain messenger RNAs that serve as precision sensors for their corresponding targets. Allosteric rearrangement of mRNA structure is mediated by ligand binding, and this results in modulation of gene expression. Lineage: Bacteria; Bacillati; Bacillota; Bacilli; Lactobacillales; Streptococcaceae. The record is from RNAcentral. RNAcentral also lists the same sequence under 1 other name.
AAUAAAAUCUUAGUUAUCACUUAUUUAUACUUGGAAUUGGCCAAGCGUCUCUACCGAACACCGUAAUGUUCGACAAUGAGUGAAAGUCGUCUUAUC